Rattus norvegicus (Norway rat) is the source of this 2732-nucleotide non-coding RNA. The record is from RefSeq and is a predicted model, not a curated record. Lineage: Eukaryota; Metazoa; Chordata; Mammalia; Rodentia; Muridae.
GCUGGGGAGUGCGAGCUGAGGCCGCGAAGCUUGCAUGGACUUCCUGGGAACAGCUCAGAGCACAGUGCAGUAUAUACAAAUGACCAACUCCUGUCCCUCGACGACAGUGGCCCAUCUUUGGACACGCCCUGAAGACUGAUGCCCAGGGCUUCUGCGAACAGCUAAGCUUCAUACAGAGAGCCAGAUUCUCACCGCACAGAGGAAGGGGGAGAGCAGAGGAAACGGUCCCGGAUAGGGGAUUGUGAGCGGAGGAUCAUCCGCCCUUGGCCUUGAACAAGCUGAGCUCUGGGAGCUGCAUUGGGUAAGGCUGUGGGCACUGAACAGAGCCUAUGGUGCUUAAACUCACGGGGCCGCUUUACCAUCUGCUGGGGAUCAAGCUGACUCGGUGACUCUUUCGGAAGGAAAGAAUCACAUAUAUGGCUACUAACUUGAUAUCAGAAGUGUGCCUCCUGAGAAAGCUGGGUAUAAUGUCUCUUGAGAGGUCUUUUGUUUUAAGAUUUAUUUCCUUUAUGUAUAUGCGAACGCCAUCACUGCCUUCAGACACACCAGAAGAGGGCAUCAGAUUCCAUUACAGAUGGUUGUGAGCUACCAUGUGGUUGCUGGGAAUUAACUCAGGACCUCUGGAAGAGUAGUCAGUGCCCUUAACUGCUGAGCCAUCUCUCCAGCCCCCUCUUGAGAGAUCUUAUGAGGACAGAGGACAAGGAAACAUCUAAGGCAUUGACGUGCCUGCUCUGGUUGGGACUGAGAUUAAAGACCAAAACCUGACUCUCAAGGCAGAGUACUGAUCCAGGCUCAAUAAAAGCCAGCUCUGCUGGGGACAAGGACAGACCUCUCGGAAGAUGGCUGGGACAGUUGUCUGUGACUGCAGGGUGCUGGCUGUAUUGUUACUUUUCUCAGAGCCAGCACAAAACACCUGACAGAGGCACUUCAAAGAUGGCGGGGUUUAUUUUGGCUCCAGGUUUGAGUACAGCCUGGUCACAGAGGGAAAGGCAUGAUGUCACCGUCGCAGGAGCGUGAGGCAGAGGCUCACACAGCCCUAUCAGGAAGCAGGGAGAUGGAUCUUGGUGCUUGGCUCCCUGUCUGCAGUUUAGUCAGCCUAGGACUCCUGCCCAUGAGAGGGGCCUCCUGCAGUAAGACGGAUCCACUCACACCAAUUAUUGCCAGAAAUUUCCCCAUGGGCAUGCCUAAUGAUUGUCUCCUGGGUGAUUCCAGGUCUUGUCAAGCUGGGCGUCAAUAUCAACCAUCAGAGAGGCCUGAAUGUCUACGACGUUGGUGAACCCUUGAUGGCUGGUCACCAGCUAUGGGAGAAUCUUGCCUCUGAGGGUGACUGGUUCACCCUGGAGCCAAAGUGCCACCCUCACAGUGCUACCCUCACUUAGGAGCCUGACAGCACCCAGUAUGUUAGCCCUCACCCUUCUCUGAGAGCCCACAGGCUUCUGCAUGGCUCUGACAGACAAGCAAGCAGAGGGCAAUUCAGUUCCCAGCGGCAGGCGGCCACUUUCAGCCUCCCGGCCAACAUCCUUGCUUCUAUUCCCUUCUUAUAUAAAUAUUCUUGUUUCCAAGGCUUUUUCUGAAGCUUUUCAAUAGUCCUUCAUCUACAGGAAAUGUCUCUGAACUCCAGCUUGAAAUCCAACCUCCAAAAAUUACAGUGGAACCAUGUGACCCAGACACAUGAAACCCAGAGGGGGGUGAGGAGAAAGAAAGGAGUGGGGAGAGAGAGGGGAGGAGAAGAUGACGGGGGUUGGGGGGAGAUGGGGAAGGAAAAGGGAGAGAAGAAAGAGAAGAGAGGGUGUGGGAGAGGGAGAGAGUGGGAGGGGAGAAGGAGAGAGGGAAGAGAGGGGAGAGAGAGAGAGGGAGAGAAAGGAAGGGAGAGGAGAAGAGAGAGGAAGAGAGAGGGGGAGUGGGAGAGAGAGGAGAGGAAGAGAGAGAAGGAGAGGAAAGAGGGAGAGGGACAGAAAGGAGGAGGAGAAAGAGGGAGAGAGAGCAAUCCCUCUGUUAGGCUGACUCAGGAAGCUGAGGCACAAGACCCUUUUACCCAUGUCUCUUCCCACAAUCCUUAGGAAGCUGGUGGAUGCUGGGAGAUAUCUGAGCGCAGUCACAGUGGCCACUGUGGGAGUCUCAGCUCCGUUUCCUCUGCCCCCCACCCAUCCCAAUGUCCCUCACCUGGUAGGCAGCUUCUCUCAUGAACUGCUUGGCUGGCUGCUUCCAGAUGGCAGGCACUGUGAUGACCCAUCUGACAUCAGAGUUCUCAAAGUCCGACCCUGCCUGAUCACUCAGCUCCUAAUGCCAAGAAGAAUAAGAACAGGAGGAGCUGCCAAAUCCGUUCCAAAAUGCCGAACCAUUUCACCUUUCCACCAGCACUGCCUAAGAACAUACUUGGGGGCUGGAGAGAUGGGUCAGAGGUUAAGAGCACUGACUGCUCUCCCAGAGGUCCUGAGUUCAAAUCUCAGCAACCACAUGGUGGCUCACGACCAUCUGUAAUGGGAUCCGAUGCCCUUUUCUGGUGUGUCCGAAGACGGCUACAGUGUACUCAUAAAUAAAAUAAAUGAGAAAUCCUUUUUUAAAAAGAUCUUUAAAAACAACAACAGUAACAAAAGAACACACUCGACUGUUCUAACCUCGGAGCCCACAUGCUCUCCCUGCAGGCUACACCACUGCCUCACUGGCAGGUGCAGCAACCUGCAGAUGGCCUAACCCAAGGCUGGCUGCCACCGUCCCUAAGGCUCACCUUC